Molecule: RNA transcript, 1864 nt
Organism: Haliaeetus leucocephalus (bald eagle)
Lineage: Eukaryota; Metazoa; Chordata; Aves; Accipitriformes; Accipitridae
Gene: POLR3C
Gene name: polymerase (RNA) III (DNA directed) polypeptide C (62kD)
Exons: 17
Source: RefSeq, a predicted model, not a curated record
GCCAGUUGCCAUGGUGGCUGCAUGGGCCUAGGCCGGGCCUGGCACUGCCGGCUGUUUUAAUCUGCCGUCGAGAUGACUCAGGCGGAAAUAAAGCUGUGUUCCCUCCUGCUGCAAGAACAUUUUGGGGAGAUCGUGGAGAAGAUAGGGACUUAUCUUAUCAGGACGGGCACCCAGCCACUGCGGAUGAUCGUCAAUGACACAGGGCUGUUGCUGGAUCAGGUUAAGAAAGCCCUUUGUGUCCUCAUCCAACACAACUUGGUGACAUACCAGCUGCAGAAGCGAGGUUUCGUGGAGUAUGAGGCCCAGUGCAAGCGGGUCCUGAGGAUCCUCCGCUACCCGCGUUACAUCUACACUGCCAAGACCCUCUACAAUGACACGGGCGAGCUCAUCGUGGAGGAGCUGCUUCUCAACGGCAAAAUGACAAUGAGCGCAGUGGUGAGGAAGGUGGCAGACAGGCUGACUGAAACAAUGGAAGACGGGAAGACCAUGGAUUACACUGAUGUCUCCAACACAUUUGUGCGCCUGGCAGACACGCACUUUGUACAGAGGUGCCCGCUGAUCCCCGAAACCCCCGAGACCCCCGAUGCGCCCCCUCCCCCUGCGCCCAUAUUGGUGAUCAAUGAGAAGGACAUGUAUGUCGUGCCCAGGCUGAACCUCAUAGGGAAAGGGAAGCGGAGACGAUCAUGCGAUGAGGAAGAAAACGGUGAACACAAGGCUAAAAAGCAGAAGCAAGAUGGAGAAAGCUCAGAGCCUCCGCCCGAUGAUGGCAUUUACUGGCAAGUCAACAUUGACCGGUUCCACCAGCAUUUUCGAGACCAGGGGAUCGUCAGUGCCGUGGCCAACCGCAUGGAUCAGACCAGCAGCGAAAUAGUGCGGACGAUGCUGCGGAUGAGCGAAGUCACCACGUCCUCCAGCGCACCGUACACCCAGCCGCUCUCUUCCAAUGAGAUAUUCAGAUCUCUUCCAGCCGGAUACAACAUUGUGAAGCAAGUUUUGGACCAGUAUCUCACCCUGUUAGCAGACGACCCGCUCGAGUUUGUGGGUAAAUCCGGGGACAGCGGCGGGGGCAUGUACACUGUCAAUCUUCACAAGGCCCUGGCGUCUCUGGCAACGGCAACCCUGGAGUCCAUCGUGGAGGAGAGAUUUGGUUCCCGCUGUGCCAGGAUAUUCCGCUUGCUCCUGCGAAAGAAGCAUUUGGAGCAGAAGCAAGUGGAGGAUUUUGCCAUGAUCCCAGCCAAGGAAGCCAAGGACAUGCUCUACAAAAUGCUGUCGGAGAAUGUUGUGUCCCUGCAGGAGAUUCCCAAGACUCCUGACCAUGCGCCAUCCCGCACCUUCUACCUCUACACCGUGAACAUCCUGUCCUCCGCACGGAUGUUGCUGCACAGAUGCUACAAGAGUGUGGCCAACCUGAUUGAACGGCGUCAAUAUGAGACCAAGGAGAACAAGAGGCUGCUGGAGAAGUCCCAGCGGGUGGAAGCCAUCUUGGCAUCCAUGCAGGCCACUGGCGCCGAGGACGCGCAGCUGCAGGAGAUUGAGGAGAUGAUCACUGUCCCAGAGCGUCAGCAGCUGGAGAACCUCAAACGCAACGUCAACAAGUGGGCACGUGGAGCCGGAUGAAGAGCUGCUGGACGUGGGGCUGCGGGAGCUGGAGGAGGAGACAGGACUGCACCUGGAAGUGGGGACCUUCUCCUGGAGGAUGCUUGGCCUCUGGGAGGUAACAUCCUCCUCAGCUGGGGGAGGGUGGCCUCAGCACCACCAACCACCCCCAUGGAGCUGAGCACCCCUGGGUGGGGGGACAGCACCCAGUUGACGCAUCCCCCUACCCACUGACCACAUCCCCUCCCAUCCGCAAACUGGGGUCCCC